GUGGGAUGGCUGGACGUAGGGACUUAUGAUUUAACCACCGCUUUUCAGGUUCACCAUGUUGUCUACGGCCGGCCGGGUCACCCCGACCAAAUUCCCUAUAUUCAAGUGUGGGUCGAUAUUUUGACUGAAAAACAGGUGGUUAAAGAGUUGCCAGAAUGAGGAAAAUAAAUUGGGACAGAGACAGACAGUCCUCUUGGCUUCGGCCCAGAAGGGCAAAACCCCCCGUUCUCCAAGGUCUGGGUGAGGAGGCACUCCCCAGGGUCAGGCCUCCCCCGUAUACUCCUCCACCCACUGGUCCCACGGUGGCAAAAGACCCUGAUCGGAGCCCUGCCUCCUCCACAGCCGGUUUCCUUUCCUCCGGAAACACCAGUCCAGGGCCCGGCUGCUUUCUCCCCUCCUCGAACUGGGCAGGGGACAGCGUGUGCAGGCACGGAGGGGGAGGGCCGGUGGGGCCCUGCAGGCGUCCCCUGGUCCCGCUCCUGUGUUGCCACUGCGGCAGGCAGGCUGUCUGGACCUGGGUCCAGACAGGCAGCCUUUUGUGGUCUGUGUCCCAUUUUCUACCAGUGGCCGGUACGGUUAGAGGGGCCGGGGUCCUUCUUUCUCCCAGAACCCACAGGGUUAAUCUCUCUUUUGGAGUCCGUGAUUUUUUAUAAUUGUCAGCAGCUACUGCAAACCCUUCUCACUUCAGAAGAGAGAGAGAGAGGGUCAGGGCAGAAGGGAGGAAACUUGUUCUGGGUCCGGAUGGACAGCCUACAUCUGACCAAGACAGAUUAGAGGCUGUGUUUCCCUUCAGGCUACCCGACUGGAACCCCAAUAGUAACGGGAAAGGAGGCUCUCGAUCGGUAUCGCCAGACUCUAUUAAGGGGCAUCCGAGCUGCUGCUCAGAGACCCACAAACCUCUCUAAGGUGACAAAGACAGUCCAGGGGCCUAACCCUAAUGCCCCGGAAAAUCGGAGGGCUGUCAAUGUUGCAUUUGUUUCCCAGUCGACUCCAGAUAUUAGAAAAAUUGCAGAAGUUAGAGGGCUUUGAGGAGAAAUCAAUCUCUGAGUUGGUUGAGGUGGCCCAGAAGGUUUUUAACAAUCGGGAGGACCCGACGGCAGGUUUAAACACCUGGAUGGCGAAGGUCCUCCUGGCCAUAAGCAAGGAAAAAAAGGCCCAAGGGGCCGGAGAGACAAGAAGGGCAAAGAAAAGCCUCGAGGGAGAAAAGAAGUCCAACCCUGGCUUGGGAAAAAUCAGUGUGCAUUUUGCAGAAAGGAAGGACAUUGGAAAAGGGAGUGCCCUGAACGUGCGAGGGAACCGACUCCCAUGUUGGUGAAGGAGGUGGAUUAGGGUUGUCAGGGCUCAGCUGGCCCCUGAGAACCCAGGAUAACCCUGACAGAGGGGGGCCAAAAGGUGGACUUCCUUGUGGAACUCAGCACUCACUCAGGCCCUCUGGUAGGGGAAAGGAACAUUUCAGCUUUCUGAAAACAGCCGCCUUGAACACGGCCACACUCCUCCCUGACGAGACACUGACUACCUUCACUUCCCUCCGCGAGAACUUUGUGGACCAGCCCCUGCAGAAUCCGGAUGAGACCCUCUACACCGACGGGAGCAGCUUCGUAGAGGAAGGUACCCGGUAUGCAGGGGCGGCAGUAGUGACAUGAGGAGGAGCCAGGGGAGAUCUGCAAUCUGCCAGGAUUAGAAAGAAGCCCUGGCACUCCAGCAAGCUGCCACAUCAACCCAGCGGAUUGUGCAAGAGGCUCACCGAAACGCUGACGUCCCGGGGGUGGAUGAUGCGAGCCAGUUUUCCCCUGGUGACUUAGUCUGGGUGAAAAGACACCAGCCCGGAGGGCUCAAGCCACGCUGGGACGGUCCGUAUACUGUAGUCCUCAGCACCCCCUCAGCAGUCAAGGUAGCCAGGAAGAGACAUUAAAUCCAUCGCACCCAAGUGAAGGCAGCGACAGUGGUGACAGCCCCCAGAGGUAGAAAGUAUAACCAACCCAGGACCCACUGAAGGUGAAGCUGGUACCUGCACACCCAGUACUAUCAGCUAGUGGAUACUAGCGACGAAUCCAGGGUCUGAAUUCGUCCUUAAAGACCAGUAGGGAGUGUUAAGUUAAGCCCCCCUUGUACUGGGGAAAUGGAACCAACUGUGGUCGAGGGUAGUCUAGGGUACGGGGCAAGUUUAUAUUAGUAGCUGGAGCAACAGGGCAAAGUUAAUUAAUACCUUAACGGGGCAGUAUUGAUUAAUGUAGCCCUGGUAACUUUGUGUCUGUAUCCCAGGUAACUUUGUGUGUGUUUAGCGAACCGUUUUGUAGUUUCUGUGUAAAAAAGGCUUGCCUAGAACCAGGUUCAACGCUGUCGUAGGAGAGAACGCCUAUGGCAGUCACUGGCUGGUUUCAAUAAAUCCUCGCUUGCUGCUUAAGACC
Myotis lucifugus (little brown bat) is the source of this 2408-nucleotide long non-coding RNA. RefSeq lists it as uncharacterized. Lineage: Eukaryota; Metazoa; Chordata; Mammalia; Chiroptera; Vespertilionidae. The record is from RefSeq and is a predicted model, not a curated record. The transcript is spliced from 2 exons.